AUUGAACGCUGGCGGAAUGCUUUACACAUGCAAGUCGAGCGGCAGCGCAGGGGCAACCCUGGCGGCGAGCGGCGAACGGGUGAGUAACAUAUCGGAACGUACCCCGUCGUGGGGGAUAACUAUCCGAAAGGAUAGCUAAUACCGCAUACGACCUGAGGGUGAAAGCGGGGGACCGUAAGGCCUCGCGCGAUGGGAGCGGCCGAUAUCGGAUUAGCUAGUUGGUGAGGUAAAGGCUCACCAAGGCGACGAUCCGUAGCUGGUCUGAGAGGACGACCAGCCACACUGGAACUGAGACACGGUCCAGACUCCUACGGGAGGCAGCAGUGGGGAAUUUUGGACAAUGGGGGCAACCCUGAUCCAGCCAUUCCGCGUGAGUGAAGAAGGCC
This 386-nucleotide ribosomal RNA is filed under the name uncultured bacterium. RNAcentral's name for it is "bacterial SSU rRNA". It matches the Rfam family "Bacterial small subunit ribosomal RNA", at positions 29 to 416 of the family's 1533-position model. The record is from RNAcentral.